RNAcentral lists this unclassified non-coding RNA (1347 nucleotides) under Leishmania donovani. RNAcentral describes it as "gene:LdHU3.21.1530(CDS-product:40S_ribosomal_prot ein_S23_putative)". Lineage: Eukaryota; Euglenozoa; Kinetoplastea; Trypanosomatida; Trypanosomatidae. The record is from RNAcentral.
AGAAGACACUUCGUGUCAGGCACUCUUCCCUAGCCAUCUCCCUCCUUCAAGAUGACGAAGACCAACGGUCAGAACGCAGCUCGUAAGCUGGUGCGCCUGCGCUGCCGCAACCGCUGGGCCGACAAGGGCUGGAAGCGCGCGCACACCUUCUCGGCCAGGAAGGCGAACCCUUUCGGCGGGUCGUCGCACGCCAAGGGCAUCGUGCUGGAGAAGAUCGGCGUCGGCGCCAAGCAGCCUAACUCCGCCAUUCGUAAGUGUGUGCGUGUGCAGCUGAUCAAGAACGACAAGAAGAUCAUCGCGUUCGUGCCGAACGAUGGCUGCCUUCACUUCAUCGAGGAGAACGACGAGGUGCUGGUGUCUGGUUUCGGCCGUUCUGGCCACGCCGUCGGUGAUAUUCCCGGCGUCCGCUUCAAGAUCGUGAAGGUGUCGAACGUCGGCCUGUACGCCCUGUACCGGCAGAAGAAGGAGAAGCCGCGUAACUAGAAAACUAGGGACGCAUGCUGCCUCUCUCUCUCUGUCCCUGUCUGUGCCUGUGUCACUGGCACAUGCGAGAGGAGGACGACGAACGGCCGGGAGCGUGCACGCGGCCGCGUUGUGGUCUCGCGUGCUUUGAUGUGCGCGCGUGCUCGAGCAAGAGUUAUGCAGGUGAAUCUCUCUAUGUCUGCCUGUCGGUGUGCCGGUGGAAUGGCGGAGGGGGGCACGUCUGCCCUUCACACAUCUCCGCCGACACCGCACCUUCUCCGACUUCUGUCUUUAUUCGUUUUUUUUUUUCGGUAAUGAUGAUUUUCGUUUCGGCGUAAACAACCAAAAACUGAAGCUGCGCACACGGCACGCAGCGUUGCCUCGUCAGAGCCGCAUGGGGUUAGCCAGCACGGUGAGGAGGAGCAGCGCGCGCACCCGUUCUCUUUGGGCCACUGCACCCCUGUAUCGCUCUGGAGUCUCUUUCUUUUCUGUGGCCCUCGACACAGGAGGGUGCAGAGGGGGGGGGGCUGUGUCUGGUUGCCUAGGCAUCACCUCCUCCACUUCCAGCGCACGGCGUGUGUGCGUGUGUGUGUGUGGGGUGCUAGCGCCAUGCAGGGAGUUCUGCUGGUGAGACUUGCCCACGUUCUGCCUCUCCUUGUCUCCUGAAAUCUUCAACAACGCACUCACUCAUCGCCUCUCUUUCCUAUGCCCUUUGCCUCUCGUGCUUCUUCUUUCGCUCACCUGCACGCGCGUCAUGUCUGCGGCCUGGCCUCCCCGACUUGCGCCGCUCUCGGCACGCACGCCUUCUCAUGUUCACACACAUAUCAUUCUGCAACUCCACCGAUAAACGCCUACACAACCUCCUCCCUUCCUCCAACGCGACAG